UGCUUAAAAUCAAAGCUAUGUUGUUUCUUUCAGCCCUUAAGAAAUAAAUGUCCUACCAUACCCAAGUCUAGUUUUUUCUUCAUGUUAUAUUCAAGUCAGACAUUACAAAUUAACCUGGGGAGCCUUCCUUUCAGAGCUUGACUUAAAAGGCAUCGUAAAUCAAUUGCAGAUCUCUCUCUAUGCAGUUUAAAUGGGUUUCUUAACACAGUCCCAGAAGGAGCUAUGAUCACUCAUCAGACUUGGUAUUCAGGACUCUCAGAUGAGAACCAACUUACUUCGGUCCAGGCUGAAUAGCGCCAUCCACCUGUGCUGCACUCUCCUGAGCAUUUCUCCUGGUUACUCGGUCUGGGUUGACUGCUACAGAAACUGUCAUCCACCUUCUCCGUCUUCCCGUCCAUCCUGCUGUAUUUGGCACAGUGGAUGUCUAAAGUACGGUAGCCCAAACCACACUGGGCACUGCAUUCGCUCUUGCUGGCAACGUGCCACCUAGACAUAAAUAAUGGUGGAAAACCAACAUUUGUGUUAAACACAAGUGUCACAUCCAACUAGUAAGAAAGCUGAGUUCGUUCUUUCUUCAUUCAAAUAUGAUGACAGCUCAAAGUCACAGCCAGUUACAAUCCAAGUUCAGACCAAGGUAUCCGUGUGAUUUUCAUGGCUGUCAAUGUACGUGGAAGUCACAGAACCACAGCCAGAGAUGCUACGUCUGUGAAGAAUCUCUUGGUACAGCUAGUCUGAAAUUCAAGCAGCAGAAAGGAAAACAAACAAACAAACAAACAAACUGGAACUCAGCAAAGCAAGGACAGCAAUUUUUAUAUGAAGUAUUUCACUUGGCUCUUGGGAAACUCAUCUGUGGAAUGCUUCUUUUUGUCUGUCCGUGCUUGUAAAUACUCAGCGACUAUUCUGAUAAUAAUAAUGCAGGAAUGAAUAAUAUGGGGAAUAAUUAAAAAUUUUCAAGUGUACGUGCUAUACACUAGGAGCGUUAUUAUUUAUUAUUAUUAUUAUUAUUAUUAUUAUUAUUGUUUUGUAAUAAACACUAAAUUUGGGGGGAUUGGCCAUCAGCUCAGCUUCAGGAUCAAUAAGAGACCCUGUCUCAAAGGAAUAAAGCAGAGAGUGAUGAAAGCAGGUGCACACCCUUGCACAUGUGUGUAUACACUACACACACACACACACACACAUACGGCUGGAAAUGUUUUUGUUUGUUUGUUUGUUUGCUUGCUUUUUAGUAUAGAAUAGAGUUUAUUCAGGGCAUGGGGAGGGGAGUUAAGAGAGUAGUAGAGGCAGAGAAAGGCAGAGAGAGGGAGAGAGUAGAGAAAUGGGGGUCAGUCAUGACCACAUGAAGAGAGAGGCAAAGAUGCAAAAGCUGGACACAAUAUCUGGAACAGCAGAUAUUGUGUGUGUGUGUGUGUGUGUGUGUGUGUGUGAGUGUGUAUAUGACUGAUAUGACUGUGUGUCUGAACAUGUAUGUCAGUGUGUUUGUGUUUAUAUGUAUGAACCUGUGUAUCUGUGUGUAUGCAUGUGUGUACGUGUGCAUGGGUACAUGUGGAAGCCACUAAAGGUAUUGUUUCUCUGGUUCCUUCUACUUAUUGUUUUAAUCACAGUGUGUGUGUGUGUGUGUGUGUGUGUGUGUGUGUGUGUAUACCAGGUAUAGAGGUUACAGUACAAUCCUCACCUUCCACCAUGUAGUUCCAAGGACCCGACUCAGGUCAUGAAGUUUGGGACAUGUGUCUUUAUGCUCUGAACUAUUUUACUAGUCUUACCUUAUUUUCUGAGACAGGCACUGUCACUGAGACCUGUCCUGUCACUGGAAACUCAGACUUUGCUAGGCUGGUUGGCCAAGAACCUUCCUCUGCCCAGUGGGUUCCACUAUAUCCCCAGCUACACCAUUGCACUUGACAUUUUAAAAGUGGGCUCAGGGCCCCGUGCUUGCAGAAGCACUUUACAACUGAACUGUCUCCCAAACCCUCAUUAUACACUUUUAAAAUUAGAUUUGAAUCCAUCAGACUUUGCCACCUUUACAUCCCUGAUAUUAUUCAUAACGAAGCCUUCUGACACACAUCAGGUGCACAGUAUAUACUAAUGACUACUCUUAUUUUCUAUAACACAACAGGAACAGAGUGCUUGAAUUUAAAACAUAAGCAAAAAAUGUUUAAUUCACAGUUUUUAAAAUCAGGAUUUUGAAAUGUAUGUGGAAAUCUAGAAAAAGAUAAUUUUCUUCUAACCUCCAGGGGAUCUUCUCUCCCAUUAUUAAUUCCCUUCAUCUCAGCCACUGGGAGGUGUGCCACUUCUCAAUGUCCUAAUGUUCACUCAUACACACCUGUCUAGGGGAGGAGUUGGGAAAAAAGAGGAACUCAAGCCAACACGCUUAUCAAGGAAUUUCUAAGUAAUGUCCAAAAGUAGGUCAGAGUUGACCACUGGCAAGGAAAGUGGGCUGUGAUUUUCCAUUACACUGAAAUAGCGUCAGGGAGAUUUUGUUCUAACACAGUAAACGAGGACUUAUAAACUCAUCCUUUAUCUCAUCCUGUCACAGGCCAGUUGGGGCAAACUGUCACUUCCUACAGGAAGUGAGGC
This 2568-nucleotide long non-coding RNA is filed under the name Mus musculus (house mouse). RNAcentral's name for it is "long non-coding RNA chr6:92872514-92875082". The record is from RNAcentral. Lineage: Eukaryota; Metazoa; Chordata; Mammalia; Rodentia; Muridae.